Peromyscus maniculatus bairdii (prairie deer mouse) is the source of this 476-nucleotide non-coding RNA. NCBI's taxonomy places the organism in Eukaryota, Metazoa, Chordata, Mammalia, Rodentia, Cricetidae. The record is from RefSeq and is a predicted model, not a curated record.
UAGGCACCACCUCAUCCUCCCAGCUCAAACAAACAACAGCAAACAAGCAAACUGCAAGAAUUAGGAGAUAUCCAGUCUCUCUUCCUGUGUUCUUCAUCUGCUAACAGAAAUAGUAAACAGCUAACCACCAGGCCACACAAGCAACGUUUGGGUGACUGGCAGCUCAAUGGCGCAGCCUACGUGUGGAGACGUGUAAUAACACGCACAGUGCAGCCGGCGGCCCCAAGCUCCGACUCGGCGUGAGCAGACUGUGGCUUUGGAAACAUCAUAGGCACAUGCACCUUCUACUGCACCACGGCUUCCACUGUGAUGUUUACAACUAUUUAAAGCGUCACCUAGAAUGGCCAUGCGCAUCUGUGUGUACAGGACGAGGAUGUCACUGAAGUCCAAAGGCUCCCUGAUUGGCUAGUGUCAAGUGGCUGGCGUGAAGGGGAAUAGCUGAUGCAGAGAUCUUCACUGUGGAAAGGUGGCUGACA